UCAAAGACAUCACUCUACAAAGGGCCAUUCCGCUAGCAGCAUAAAGCGAAGACGUAUGAAAGCAUACCGCUAAAUAAUCUACA
Non-coding RNA from Caenorhabditis elegans, 83 nucleotides. The record is from Ensembl. NCBI's taxonomy places the organism in Eukaryota, Metazoa, Nematoda, Chromadorea, Rhabditida, Rhabditidae.